RNAcentral lists this ribosomal RNA (253 nucleotides) under uncultured bacterium. Its description in RNAcentral is "partial 16S ribosomal RNA". It matches the Rfam family "Bacterial small subunit ribosomal RNA", at positions 524 to 776 of the family's 1533-position model. The record is from RNAcentral.
GACAGAGGGUGCAAGCGUUGUUCGGAAUUACUGGGCGUAAAGGGCGCGUAGGCGGCCUUCUAAGUCGGACGUGAAAUCCCUGGGCUCAACCCAGGAACUGCGUCCGAUACUGGAAGGCUUGAGUCCGGGAGAGGGAUGCGGAAUUCCAGGUGUAGCGGUGAAAUGCGUAGAUAUCUGGAGGAACACCGGUGGCGAAGGCGGCAUCCUGGACCGGUACUGACGCUGAGGCGCGAAAGCCAGGGGAGCAAACGGG